AUCGGUAUGCAAUUUUCCCAUUCACAAGUGAAAGUACCUGCAACUCUUAUCAGCUUAAUCUCUGAUAUGUCCUCGAUGUGAGGACUGUAUGUUAGCUUGAUUUUUGAAAUGAGGGGGUCAGAACAGAAGCUUGCUUUGUCUGCCCCAUGCAUCGACCUGGUAUUGCACUGUCUCCAGGAACGAAAAAAAAAAA
Gopherus evgoodei (Goodes thornscrub tortoise) is the source of this 193-nucleotide small nuclear RNA. Its record names the gene U2. It matches the Rfam family "U2 spliceosomal RNA". From Rfam's summary of the family: U2 is a small nuclear RNA (snRNA) component of the spliceosome (involved in pre-mRNA splicing). The record is from Ensembl. Lineage: Eukaryota; Metazoa; Chordata; Testudines; Testudinidae.